GUCCACGAAUAUAGUCCUUAGUGUGGACAGUGUGUUACUUGCCAAUUUUUGUUAUACCCCUUCCAAAUUUAUUUCUCCAUGUUUUAUGCUCAUAUAGCAAGUUGGGGGUUGAAAUGACACUGUAAAAAAAUUUGGGUCAUAAAUAUUAAUGUAAAGUAGUGAUUAGGUCCAGCUGAAAAAGGUCAGAAAUUAGCACUUCGGAAGCUGUCAAAAGAUUUCAAGACCCCCUUAACACAAAAUUGUCCAUAUUUUGAGUUAGAGCUGAUGAAGUUUUCUAUAAUUUUGAUAUAAUUUGUCCCAAAAGUAGUACAACACACUGUAAAAAUAUUAUUGAGAAAGCGCAGGUGGGAUUUUUUUAAUUUUCAUUUAUUGUCUAAAAGAAAUGCACUACGAAAUAACUGUGUACUCGGACCACA
RNAcentral lists this long non-coding RNA (416 nucleotides) under Mytilus galloprovincialis (Mediterranean mussel). Lineage: Eukaryota; Metazoa; Mollusca; Bivalvia; Mytilida; Mytilidae. The record is from RNAcentral.